This 30-nucleotide non-coding RNA is filed under the name Mus musculus (house mouse). The record is from RNAcentral. Lineage: Eukaryota; Metazoa; Chordata; Mammalia; Rodentia; Muridae.
UAAUCAUAGUUUCAAUUUGGGACAAAAAAA